UAGGGAAUCUUCCACAAUGGACGCAAGUCUGAUGGAGCAACGCCGCGUGAGUGAAGAAGGUUUUCGGACCGUAAAGCUCUGUUGUUGGUGAAGAAGGAUAGAGGUAGUAACUGGCCUUUAUUUGACGGUAAUCAACCAGAAAGUCACGGCUAACUACGUGCCAGCAGCCGCGGUAAAUACGUAGGUGGCAAGCGUUGUCCGGAUUUAUUGGGCGUAAAGCGAGCGCAGGCGGAAGAAUAAGUCUGAUGUGAAAGCCCUCGGCUUAACCGAGGAAUUGCAUCGGAAACUGUUUUCUUGAGUGCAGAAGAGGAGAGUAGAACUCCAUGUGUAGCGGUGGAAUGCGUAGAUAUAUGGAAGAAUACCAGUGGCGAAGGCGGCUCUCUGGUCUGCAACUGACGCUGAGGCUCGAAAGCAUGGGUAGCGAACAGGAUUAGAUACCCUGGUAGUCCAUGCCGUAAACGAUGAGUGCUAAGUGUUGGGAGGCUUCCGCCUCUCAGUGCUGCAGCUAACGCAUUAAGCACUCCGCCUGGGGGAGUACGACC
This 542-nucleotide ribosomal RNA is filed under the name uncultured bacterium. Its description in RNAcentral is "partial 16S ribosomal RNA". It matches the Rfam family "Bacterial small subunit ribosomal RNA", at positions 355 to 887 of the family's 1533-position model. The record is from RNAcentral.